Molecule: non-coding RNA, 94 nt
Organism: Rhamnusium bicolor
Lineage: Eukaryota; Metazoa; Arthropoda; Insecta; Coleoptera; Cerambycidae
Source: the annotation of a GenBank genome assembly
AGUUCGGUGGCGUAGCUGGUUAGAGCACGCGAUGGUAAUUGUGACUAGAAAUCUUAUAUCGUGGCUGCGGGUUCGAAUCCCGCCACCGGCACUG